This 1028-nucleotide long non-coding RNA is filed under the name Homo sapiens (human). Its description in RNAcentral is "HSALNT0400900". The record is from RNAcentral. Lineage: Eukaryota; Metazoa; Chordata; Mammalia; Primates; Hominidae.
CCUUGUCGUGUGGCCUCAGUCCUUCGCCGUCCCUCGCCGUCCUUCGCCAUCGCACGCCACCGCACCCCAUCUCUCGAAAUCUGCAGACAUCUUGAUUUUUCCCACGCUGUCUGUCAGGUCUCCGCCGCCACUCGACGCCAGGGCGCCGGGCCUUGUGGGCUGUGCUGCACCUCGGACGGCUUCGCACCAGCCAGCGCCCUCUCUCUCCUGCAGCACUCUGAUCUGCACCCCCUGAGGGGCUUCCACUGUCCGCGGGGUGAGAAUGCCCCUGGGAGUGUCACAUGACUGCCGCCCCAUGUGUGUGAGAGGCGUCCUCUGGGAGAGCAUGGAUCCUGAGGUCCCAGGAACAUCCCGAGAGCCAAGUUCCCAGAUGCCAGCCAAGGGCCAUCUGACCUGUUUUGAAUCUCAAUUUCCUGAUACAGAAAACAAAGGAUUGUCAGCUGACCUCUGUCCUGUGUGCCCAGUGGCCCCAGGUGACGUGUCUUCAAGAAGAGGCUGAGCUGCGGUGCUUGUAAGGGUCUCAUUCUGUCACCCAGGCUGGAGUGCAGUGGUGCAAUGAUGGCUCACUGCAGCCUCGACCUGGGCUCAAGUGAUCCUCCACCUCAGCUUCCUGAGUAGCUGGGACCACAGGUCUCAGCCUUAGAUCCAAGGACAGUCCAAGGAAGUCCUAAGACCAUGGAGUUGGUGAUCUGGGAUCUGGGUUUGCUGAUAUUUCUCACCGUGAAUCUCUUGGUGGUGUUUGUGGGCACGAGAGGGGCAGAGAAUGGAGAGUGAGGCUACCACAUGAAGCGUCACCAGAGCUGCUCCCUGCUGCCUGCUCAGAGCACCCCGGAUCCACUGUUCAAUCUGCACAAGAUUCGGGGUCCAGACAUGGGAGACUUCAGCUGCCUCAGAGGACCGUGGACAGGGAAGGCCAGCCUCGCAUCCCUCUGUCCAUGCCUGGAAUGACUUUAAUAACCAAGAGUUUUAUUUUUGAAUUUGUAGCUGUCGUUCACUUUUUACCCACCCAUUCAAUAAACCUUACAGAA